This 471-nucleotide long non-coding RNA is filed under the name Carica papaya (papaya). RNAcentral's name for it is "long non-coding RNA (CPAP_LNC003958)". The record is from RNAcentral. Lineage: Eukaryota; Viridiplantae; Streptophyta; Magnoliopsida; Brassicales; Caricaceae.
AAAUAUCAGUUUUGAAGAUUAAUAACUACCAAGAAGUAUUUGAAUGUGCCCAACUUGCAGAAGAGACUACAAGCUCAAUCCCACAACAAAUCCAACAGGCUCGACCAUCUAUACCAAAUAAUUAGAAGGUCCAAGAGCCACAACAACUUGAUAAGAGACAAGAGACAAGUUUCAUAAGUCCUCCGAGAGCCCUAGCACAAAAGCCAGAGUAAAUCUGCCCCCAUGGUGGAAAAAAUCACGGUAAUAGACCCUGCUACAAGUUGACAAAUGAAUUCUUUAGAUCUGGUAGUAUUCAACAUCGGAUCAAAGAGUGUCAUAUCAAUAAAGAAAUACCAAACCAACAACUCAAGAAAGAGUAUAUGUCAUUAUAGAGCGAGAUGCUCAAUCCUCUCUAGAUGUAAUCCAAGGUAUGUUCACUAUCUCUAGUACCUUGGCUAAAGUUUUAAUAGACCCAGAAUCUACAUACUCUUU